GGGGGCGACAGGUUUCGACGGGAAUCAGUGAGGCCCAGGCUGCGUCUCGAGGUUUCUCUCCCCUCGUUAAAUAGAGAGAACGGUAUAGCUGCCGACACUCAGCUAGCUCUGGCGGCCUAACAACCGUCAGUGUCGGCCGGGCCGAGUCAUCAGGGUCCGGGAACCGGCAUCAUACUCUGGUGACUGGCUCCAAGCCCUGCCUCAGGGGAGGAGCGAGAACGCAGAGGCUGGUCCCGCGCUCCUCCUGCCGGCUGGAGGGGCGAGGGACGAGAGAGCAGCAAGAUAAACCGGAUAUCGGCGUAGACGCCUGAGGCUGAGGGUUUUCGGACGUGGGUUCGAUUCCCACCGCCUCCACCA
Molecule: transfer-messenger RNA, 357 nt
Filed under: Candidatus Rokuibacteriota bacterium
Lineage: Bacteria; Candidatus Rokuibacteriota
Also listed under: 1 other name
Description: Candidatus Rokubacteria bacterium (sediment metagenome) transfer-messenger RNA
Rfam family: transfer-messenger RNA
About the family: Bacterial tmRNA, also known as 10Sa RNA or SsrA, is named for its dual tRNA and mRNA-like properties.
Source: RNAcentral